CAGCAGCCGCGGUAAUACAGAGGGUGCAAGCGUUAAUCGGAUUUACUGGGCGUAAAGGGCGCGUAGGUGGUUAUGUAAGUGAGAUGUGAAAUCCCCGGGCUCAACCUGGGAACUGCAUCUUAUACUGCGUAGCUGGAGUGCAGUAGAGGGUAGUGGAAUUUCCGGUGUAGCGGUGAAAUGCGUAGAUAUCGGAAGGAACACCAGUGGCGAAGGCGGCUACCUGGACUGACACUGACAUUGAGGCGCGAAAGCGUGGGGAGCAAGCAGGAUUAGAUACCCCCGUAGUCCCUGUCUCUUAUAA
Molecule: ribosomal RNA, 301 nt
Filed under: uncultured bacterium
Lineage: Bacteria
Description: partial 16S ribosomal RNA
Rfam family: Bacterial small subunit ribosomal RNA
Source: RNAcentral